UACGGAGGGUGCAAGCGUUAUCCGGAUUCACUGGGUUUAAAGGGUGCGUAGGUGGGUUGGUAAGUCAGUGGUGAAAUCCCCGAGCUUAACUUGGGAACUGCCAUUGAUACUAUCAGUCUUGAAUACCGUGGAGGUCAGCGGAAUAUGUCAUGUAGCGGUGAAAUGCUUAGAUAUGACAUAGAACACCGAUUGCGAAGGCAGCUGGCUACUCGGAUAUUGACACUGAGGCACGAAAGCGUGGGGAUCAAACAGG
Molecule: ribosomal RNA, 253 nt
Filed under: uncultured bacterium
Lineage: Bacteria
Description: partial 16S ribosomal RNA
Rfam family: Bacterial small subunit ribosomal RNA
Source: RNAcentral